GGGACUGCGCAGCUACACAUGCAAGUCGAGCGGAACGACACUAACAAUCCUUCGGGUGCGUUAAUGGGCGUCGAGCGGCGGACGGGUGAGUAAUGCCUAGGAAAUUGCCUUGAUGUGGGGGAUAACCAUUGGAAACGAUGGCUAAUACCGCAUAAUGCCUACGGGCCAAAGAGGGGGACCUUCGGGCCUCUCGCGUCAAGAUAUGCCUAGGUGGGAUUAGCUAGUUGGUGAGGUAAUGGCUCACCAAGGCGACGAUCCCUAGCUGGUCUGAGAGGAUGAUCAGCCACACUGGAACUGAGACACGGUCCAGACUCCUACGGGAGGCAGCAGUGGGGAAUAUUGCACAAUGGGCGAAAGCCUGAUGCAGCCAUGCCGCGUGUAUGAAGAAGGCCUUCGGGUUGUAAAGUACUUUCAGUUGUGAGGAAGGGGGUGGCG
Molecule: ribosomal RNA, 435 nt
Filed under: Dicathais orbita
Lineage: Eukaryota; Metazoa; Mollusca; Gastropoda; Neogastropoda; Muricidae
Description: bacterial SSU rRNA
Rfam family: Bacterial small subunit ribosomal RNA
Source: RNAcentral